GUCAGAAUGAAGGCGACAGCAGCGGGGAGAGAAUCAAGUCACGAGAUCGCUUGGAUUGGCCUUGGUGGACCAACGGGACCAAGGGUCGGGUGAGGGAGACCGAGGAGUCUCAGGCGACGCCCGCACCUCUGCCCGGGAAUCAGGCCUCGUUAGUACAAUCGGGGCAAAGGAUGCCGGCUCCUGCCAGAUCGCACAGUGAUUCACCAGCUGAGACGCUCACGAUGCAGUGGUCGGAGGAACAGCCCAGAUACUGCCCAGCACUUAGGAGACCUCAAGUUCUAGCGGAGUGCCUGGGGAGGGCAGGGGGCGGCCUGCCCCCAGCCUGGCUGGGAUGCGAGGCCUGAGGAGGAGCUGGAUGAAGGCUCAGAGAUGUGAAUGGCGCUAGCGGGAGCCAGAAGAGCUGUGAAUGGACAGGGGAUGGAAAGCAUGUGUGUGGGUGGCUGGCCUCAGUGGCUUGGACCAUGUUCCGUACAUGAUAAGAAACCGAGGGGAUUAAGUAAGGCAAGGUCAUGGUCAGAUUGACCGUGGUGUGGGGGACACUGGUCCAGGCAAGGGGUCAUGUGUAUAGCCUGGCAGUGGCCAUGAGAAGGCUCAAGGUGAGAAUCAGAGGUUGAAUCUCUUUCUCCCCAUCCAUCCUGGAUUGUGGCCCCUUGAAGACAAGAGAGGGGCUCUGGUGUCCAGGGCAGGCACUGGGAGGCAGGACAGGCCUGCUGACCGUGUGUUGACCCCGAGGGAGCCUGGCCAUCACAGCCCUCUGCAUGGAGGGGCCACCCUGGGGCUGGAGCAGGUCAGGCUGACCGAGGGCACAGCUGACAUCCGACUCCCCACGUUCCCACGUUCCUCCCAGCGGCCACAGCUUGCAGCGCUGAAUGGUUCCGAGAAAUCAGUGGUUCAAAUGUCGCAGGAGCGAACACAGAGCUUCAAGGAGGAAUUCAUCCACCUGACCCAGGAA
This 952-nucleotide long non-coding RNA is filed under the name Equus caballus (horse). RNAcentral describes it as "lncRNA (ENSECAG00000051322.1)". The record is from RNAcentral. Lineage: Eukaryota; Metazoa; Chordata; Mammalia; Perissodactyla; Equidae.